This is a long non-coding RNA of Procambarus clarkii (red swamp crayfish), 1609 nucleotides long. RefSeq lists it as uncharacterized. The record is from RefSeq and is a predicted model, not a curated record. Lineage: Eukaryota; Metazoa; Arthropoda; Malacostraca; Decapoda; Cambaridae.
AGAAUAUGCAGCAGUUGUAUGGUGCCCAAAUCUCAAGAAGCACAUCAGUAAACUGGAAAAGGUGCAAAUGCAUGCUACAAAAUGGCUUCCGGAACUGAAAAAACAAGAGUUACGUGGAGAGGCUAGAGGUAUUAAAUAGGUGAAGAAGGAAAAUGUGCAAAUGCAUGCUACAAAAUGGCUUCUGGAACUGUAAAAACAAGAGUUACGAGGAGAGGCUAGAGGUAUUAAUAUGACAAAGCUAAAAGAUAGAAGAAAAAGAGGUGAUAUGCUCACCACUUACAAAAUAAAAAAAAGAAUUGACCAAAUUGACAAGGAGGAAUUCCCGAAACCAGUAACUUCAAAACAAUAGGUCACAGAUUCAAACUAAGGAAACAAAGGUGCCGAAAAAAAUAUUUAAAAGUUUUCUUUAGCAAACAGAGUGGUAGACGGUUGAAACAAGUUAAGCUAAAAGGUGGUGAAGGCUAAAAUCGUCAGUAGUUUCAAAGCGUUAUACGACAAAGAGUACUGGAAAGACCGGACACCACGAGUGUAGCUCUCAUAUCCUGUAACUACACUUAGGUAAUUACACGCACACGCGCACACAUCACGAGGAGUAAGGUAUAUCAACGGAGGAAAAUUGUGGAUACAAUCACUAUAUACAAAAUUGUUUCAGGAGGCGAUAAAGUAAACAAGGAGGAAUUUUUGAAACCUGCAACUUCUUUUCUCAUGGGUUCACGCUAAGGAAACAAAGGUGCCGAGAUAAACGCACGAGUUCGCGUUUGCGAACAGUUAUAGAAGACAAUGAGUCACAAUAACGUGGCUGAAGCCACGUUAUAGAGUGAAUGACCAAGUGACAGAUCGACAAGAGGAAAGGAGACUGAUAAAAGUGACAAGAUCAUUGACAGACUAAAUGCCAGCUUCCACAGAGUAUUACAACUGAACCGGGACAACUCCCACCCAAGUGGCUAAGAGCAACUUCAGGUAAACAACGCUCACCAGCAUAGUUGGGCGCAAGAUCCAUUGGUGCGAGUGUGAAGGUGCUCAGGGUGGUGGAGGUGCCUAUCAUGACAAACACCAGCAGAGCAGACACUACCCACUUGUGGCAUCCUGCCCACACCAUACAACAUAGACCCACAACCACUAACAUCAUUCCUGCAAAAGUGAAGGACAGAGCUGUAAUAUUUAAAGAACACUACCUGCAUCUUGAGAAAAGUUGGCCCCUCAGUGAUGGUCUGAUUUCCUACCCAAGAAGUCGCAAACUCAGCCAGAAUACAUGGGUAGAAUCUAUAGCAGCGGAUAAGAUAUGAGUGGGUGAUUGAUGGGAGAGUUGCGGACAAAAUACAGCCAGAAAGGUGUCCACACAAGUGCCAAUGUGCCACCACCCCAAAACACCCACUGCCAUCCUAGCUGAUGUACCACCCACCCAGAGGUGCCAAUUGCCACCAAACUGCCCAAGGACAUUCCUGAAUGAGACAGAGGAUGACAAAAAGUGGAGCGCACCUGAGGUCUUGGUGAAGAAGUAGCCCCAGAAAAAGGUGCCAAGAAUGAUCCCUUGUUCCUCCAAGCUCCAGUCAAAUUCGCCACCACCCUGCUGAUGGAGAAGAUGAAUAGUGCAAUUCAGAAAAAAAUA